UUAUCCCGGAUGAAUAAGCAUAUCAAUAAGCGGAGGAAAAGAAACCAACAGGGAUUGCCCUAGUAACGGCGAGUGAAGCGGCAACAGCUCAAAUUUGAAAUCUGGCUUCGGCCCGAGUUGUAAUUUGCAGAGGAAGCUUUAGGCGCGGCACCUUCUGAGUCCCCUGGAACGGGGCGCCAUAGAGGGUGAGAGCCCCGUAUAGUUGGAUGCCUAGCCUGUGUAAAGCUCCUUCGACGAGUCGAGUAGUUUGGGAAUGCUGCUCAAAAUGGGAGGUAAAUUUCUUCUAAAGCUAAAUACCGGCCAGAGACCGAUAGCGCACAAGUAGAGUGAUCGAAAGAUGAAAAGCACUUUGAAAAGAGGGUUAAAUAGCACGUGAAAUUGUUGAAAGGGAAGCGCUUGUGACCAGACUUGCGCCGGGCGGAUCAUCCGGUGUUCUCACCGGUGCACUCCGCCCGGCUCAGGCCAGCAUCGGUUCUCGCGGGGGGAUAAAGGUCCUGGGAACGUAGCUCCUCCGGGAGUGUUAUAGCCCGGGGCGUAAUGCCCUCGCGGGGACCGAGGUUCGCGCAUCUGCAAGGAUGCUGGCGUAAUGGUCAUCAGCGACCCGUCUUGAACCACGGACCCA
This 622-nucleotide ribosomal RNA is filed under the name Chaetomium globosum. Its description in RNAcentral is "eukaryotic LSU rRNA". It matches the Rfam family "Eukaryotic large subunit ribosomal RNA", at positions 24 to 669 of the family's 3401-position model. Lineage: Eukaryota; Fungi; Ascomycota; Sordariomycetes; Sordariales; Chaetomiaceae. The record is from RNAcentral.